GGUUUGAAGGAAAAAAAAGUCUGUAUUGAUUUAGCAAUGGCAAAAUGCCUUUUACAACUACUGUUUCUCUAUUACAGUGUCUCUCUCUUCCCUCUCUAAUUCUUCAUCAAUUAACACAGGGAUGGAAACUAACGAAAAGAACAAAGAAACAGAAGUUAAAUGGUUGAUAAACAACCCCCAUGACUCGGUCCAGUGCUAGCAGCGCUAGUCCCAGCUCAUAGCUGCAUAACUGAAGAAAAAUAUUGCCUGCCNNNNNNNNNNNUUCUAUCAUAUGCUUAUUUAUAAUCGAAAUAUGUUGCCUUCAUUCCCAUGUGACCUCACCCC
Molecule: unclassified non-coding RNA, 324 nt
Filed under: Hevea brasiliensis (rubber tree)
Lineage: Eukaryota; Viridiplantae; Streptophyta; Magnoliopsida; Malpighiales; Euphorbiaceae
Source: RNAcentral